AACGAACGCUGGCGGCAGGCCUAACACAUGCAAGUCGAACGCCGUAGCAAUACGGAGUGGCAGACGGGUGAGUAACGCGUGGGAACAUACCCUCCGGUUCGGAAUAACUCAGGGAAACUUGAGCUAAUACCGGAUACGUCCAAGGUUUUAAUCGGCCUUGGAGAAAGAUUUAUCGCUGGAGGAUUGGCCCGCGUCUGAUUAGCUUGUUGGUGAGGUAAUGGCUCACCAAGGCGACGAUCAGUAGCUGGUCUGAGAGGAUGAUCAGCCACAUUGGGACUGAGACACGGCCCAAACUCCUACGGGAGGCAGCAGUGGGGAAUAUUGGACAAUGGGCGCAAGCCUGAUCCAGCGAUGCCGCGUGUGUGAAGAAGGCCUGCGGGUUGUAAAGCACUUC
RNAcentral lists this ribosomal RNA (394 nucleotides) under uncultured bacterium. RNAcentral's name for it is "bacterial SSU rRNA". It matches the Rfam family "Bacterial small subunit ribosomal RNA", at positions 29 to 436 of the family's 1533-position model. The record is from RNAcentral.